Molecule: ribosomal RNA, 273 nt
Filed under: uncultured bacterium
Lineage: Bacteria
Description: partial 16S ribosomal RNA
Rfam family: Bacterial small subunit ribosomal RNA
Source: RNAcentral
UACGAAGGGGGCUAGCGUUGCUCGGAAUUACUGGGCGUAAAGGGCGCGUAGGCGGACAGUUUAGUCAGAGGUGAAAGCCCAGGGCUCAACCUUGGAAUAGCCUUUGAUACUGGCUGUCUUGAGUGCGGGAGAGGUGUGUGGAACUCCGAGUGUAGAGGUGAAAUUCGUAGAUAUUCGGAAGAACACCAGUGGCGAAGGCGACACACUGGCCCGUUACUGACGCUGAGGCGCGAAAGCGUGGGGAGCAAACAGGAUUAGAUACCCCUGUAGUCC